AGAGUUUGAUCCUGGCUCAGAACGAACGCUGGCGGCGUGCUUAACACAUGCAAGUCGAACGCGAAAGUUUUCUUCGGAAAGCGAGUAGAGUGGCGCACGGGUGAGUAACGCGUAAGUAAUCUACCCUGGUAUCUGGGAUAACCCACCGAAAGGUGUGCUAAUACCGGAUACGCUGAUUUAUCAGGAAAGGUGGCCUCUUCAUGAAAGCUACUGUACCAGGAGGAGCUUGCGUACCAUUAGCUAGUUGGUAGGGUAAUGGCCUACCAAGGCGACGAUGGUUAGCGGGUCUGAGAGGAUGAUCCGCCACACUGGAACUGGAACACGGACCAGACUCCUACGGGAGGCAGCAGUGAGGAAUAUUGCGCAAUGGGGGAAACCCUGACGCAGCGACGCCGCGUGGAUGAUGAAGGCCUUCGGGUCGUAAAAUCCUGUCAGAUGGAAAGAAAUGUAUAGAGGCUAAUACCCUUUAUAUUUGACGGCACCAUCAAAGGAAGCACCGGCUAACUCCGUGCCAGCAGCCGCGGUAAUACGGAGGGUGCAAGCGUUGUUCGGAAUUACUGGGCGUAAAGCGCGCGUAGGCGGCUAUUUAAGUCAGAUGUGAAAGUCCACGGCUCAACCGUGGAAGUGCAUUUGAAACUGGAUAGCUUGAGUACUGGAGGGGGUGGUGGAAUUCCCGGUGUAGAGGUGAAAUUCGUAGAUAUCGGGAGGAAUACCGGUGGCGAAGGCGACCACCUGGCCAGAUACUGACGCUGAGGUGCGAAAGCGUGGGGAGCAAACAGGAUUAGAUACCCUGGUAGUCCACGCCGUAAACGAUGUCAACUAGGUGUUGGGGAGGUUAAUCUUCUCAUUGCCGCAGCUAACGCAUUAAGUUGACCGCCUGGGGAGUACGGUCGCAAGAUUAAAACUCAAAGGAAUUGACGG
Molecule: ribosomal RNA, 921 nt
Filed under: uncultured bacterium
Lineage: Bacteria
Description: bacterial SSU rRNA
Rfam family: Bacterial small subunit ribosomal RNA
Source: RNAcentral